This 403-nucleotide ribosomal RNA is filed under the name uncultured bacterium. Its description in RNAcentral is "bacterial SSU rRNA". It matches the Rfam family "Bacterial small subunit ribosomal RNA", at positions 355 to 774 of the family's 1533-position model. The record is from RNAcentral.
UAGGGAAUAUUGGUUAAUGGGCGAAAGCCUGAACCAGCAACGCCGCGUGCACGAUGACGGCCUUCGGGUUGUAAAGUGCUUUUUGGAGGGAAGAGGAAGGACGGUACCUCCAGAAUAAGUCUCGGCUAACUACGUGCCAGCAGCCGCGGUAACACGUAGGAGACAAGCGUUAUUCGGAUUUACUGGGCGUAAAGCGCGUGCAGGCGGUCUGACAAGUUGGAUGUGAAAGCUCCUGGCCUAACUGGGAGAGGUCGUUCAAAACUAUCAGACUAGAGAGUGGUAGAGGAAGGCGGAAUUCCGGGUGUAGUGGUGAAAUGCGUAGAUAUCCGGAGGAACACCAGUGGCGAAAGCGGCCUUCUGGACCAAUUCUGACGCUCAGACGCGAAAGCUAGGGUAGCGAACG